UCAUUUCAGUGUCGGGUGAAGCAAUAUGAGCAGUGUUACCAUAGCUACGGAGGAAGAGCCCGAAGCAGACGCUGGUGGCUGUGUGACUGUCCCGACGGUUAUAGUUGCGACUAUUCACCGGACAAUAGAGAGUUCCGAUGCAUGCCCAACCGAGAUGAUCCUACCAGUGUUUUAAAUUCGGUUAUGAGCCGGAUUGCUUGAACCCACCAAUCCUAAGAAGACGGGUAACCGUGUCUCCACCAGUCGCUGGAUCCGUUUACCUUCUACUCAUCAUAUUUUCACUAUUAUUCCAUUUGUUAUUCCUCUGCCUGAACUUCAUCUUUAAUACUUUUAGAUAUUAAGCGUCUAAGUACUUUAGUAUGCUAAUUCAGUUUAUAAAUUUUAAUAUUUGAGUAAUCAAUUAUCUUUAUAUUUACGCAUUUAUAUAUGUACUUAAGUAUUCAAAUAUCAAAAUACUAUAGCAUUUUAAUUUUCAGUAAGAACAAUUACGUGACUUACAUCUCUUGAGCAUUUAAUUAUAUAUUUUGGAAUUAAGUUGAGUAUGUAUUAUAUUUGUUUUAUAUGCAAAAGAAAAAUUCGGGACCCACCUAAAUGUGGAUACAUAUUUUUUUUGUCAUUGUAGUUGAUCCUUUUGGGCCCAACGUGAACUUCUUAAAGACACAAAUAAAAGGGUUUAAAUCUGGCAAAUAUUAAUUAUCGCCAACUACACUUACUACCCUAUCCACCAUAUGAGCUUUGAGGGCGUAAACUUUACAUCGAAUGACUUGUUUGAUCACUGCUUGCUGAGGGGGCCGUUAAAGAUGAAGGUUUCCACCAGAGUACAGCAUACUAAUAAUGGGCCCUUUCAUCAUUCACCACGGCAUUUUUUUUGCAAUCUCUACUCUGACGCUUUCUGUAACACAGAUAAUCCUUAGUCAUAAACCCUUCAAUGACGAAACAGCCUUUGUCGAAAAUCGGUGAUUGAAAACAGCAGUCACGUCCUCGACCCUGGACAAACAACAUAUUCGCAUUUUUUCAGACAAAAACCCCUUGGCUUUUCAUUGUGAUUCGACUUGCAUUUUCAAAGGAAUUUGUGAGUUGUAGAAAACGACUGCGUGGUGAUUGCCAAAAUACGCUAUUCCUAAUUCUUGAUAAAAAAAACUAUUCAUAUUGACAUUGAAGAGAGAGUCUCGUCAGGCAGUAGACGGCUCUGAAAUAUUAUCUCGAAUUGUCAAAUUACAUUAUAUUCACGAUUUCUUUGAGCAAAUUUGAUCCCGGCAUAUAAAUAUUCUUAGUUACAUGAUAAUACACCCCAAAGUACAAUUUUCGACUUGUACAAGAAGACGUAGAUGGCGUACAAGUAUUUGUCAUCUAUCAUCUUUUUUCAAGUAUCAUCAUGAUGAAGACCAACCUGUAUUGCAUGCAUCCGUGAUGAUGAUUAGAUAAAAUUUCAUGACAAGUUUGAUUGCCGUAUCAUUUGUGAUUAGAAAAUAAGGCCUAUUAGAAAUGAUGAUAAUUUCAAUAACAUAGAUUUAUUGAUACAGUUGAUGAUGACAAUAUUAACAAGGUUGAUGAUUAUGACUAUGGCAAUGAUAAUGAUGAACGUAUUGUUAGUAUUCUCAAAUAUUGAUGAAAACAUUUUUAUAAGCCCUGCAUGAGGUAAAACACAACAAUCUGUUAUUAGUAGUAAUAAUGUUUCAAGAAAAAUUUAUUGUCAUUAUUUGUGCUUAUUCCGAGCUUAUUAUCAACUUCAAGGAAUUAUGUAUAAAUCAUUCAUUAUGUUUUAAGGCUAAGUGGCAACGUUUAAUCUUGCAAGUGUACAAAUGUAGAAUUAAGUAAAAGUUCAUCCCGGGUUAUGUGUACAUUUUUAGAAAGGUAUUGUUCAGGAAUGAUUAUUCUUUUGGUCGUUAAUUAUGUUUAUCCUGUUUUUAAUCUGUUUGAUACUUAUCCACUCAAAGUACCAUCUACCUUAUUUGAAGGGAGAAAAAAAAAUGACGGAAAACAGCAUGAGAUAGAUCACCAUACAAUUGCGAGUCUUGUUUCAUUCAAUGUCAAUUAUUGUCAUACCUUAUGAACACGGUGAAUGGUCUAUGUUAUAAACUUAAGGCGAUAGGUUGCAAUGGACCGUUUGUACAAGUUCUAUAAAUAAAUAGUUUAAAAUUGUUGGAUAAAUUUAGUUAACUUCAACGUGACUCUGCGUUAUCAUACACCCAUUAAAACUCGACAGACCAUGGAAACAUUAUUCUUAGAAAAGGUAUAAUCUUAGAGUAAUGUUAAUUGAAUGCCAAGGCCGUUUGUUCCCCUAUCUUUCAAAAUUGAGUUAAGGGUGUUGAUAAAAUGUGUGCACUAGGUUGCUGAUUGAUUACAAAUAUCCAUUGCAUUUUCCUUCUCAUAAAUCAUGCUUAACUAAUAUUCAAGGUAAUAGAUCUGUAAUAAGGGUAGCAUUAGACAUGAGCAAAUCUCAAAUCAAUUAGAAACACGAACUAUGUUGGAUCUAUAUUUGACUUGAAUUUGGUUGUGCAAUUCUUGCUAUUGGACCGAAUGAAACAGUGGCAUACAUCUCGUUAAUGCCUAUUACACGAAAAUGACCAGCUUUCUUCAAUCAAACUUCGAACUGUAUUGAUAAUCAGUAAAACGAAUAAUAUAUUCGAAAUUUUAAUAAAUACAUCGAUCAUCAACAUCACUACCGAAAUGGUUAAUUACAUAUCUGAAUUCAUGAAAGCAAGCAAAAUGUAACAAAUGAUAUCAUACAGUCCUAAUCCUUGUUUAUUUUACUAUUAAUAUCAUUUCUACAUGAGAUCAGUUUUAAAACAAAGAAAUUAUUAACUUAUAAGGGAAUCAUCUUGUUCCAGUGUUUAAGUUGGAAAGAAAUAAUUGAUUAAUCUUAACAAUACAUGUUGUGUUUUGUAGCAUUCUUGUGACGUAAUGUUGCUAUUCGGAAAUACAUAUUUGAUGUGAUAUAUGUCUGUUUUUGUUCACUUUAUCUCAUUAUGCUUUAAAUGAAUACAUGUUAUUUCAAAA
Lytechinus variegatus (green sea urchin) is the source of this 3000-nucleotide long non-coding RNA. RefSeq lists it as uncharacterized. The record is from RefSeq and is a predicted model, not a curated record. NCBI's taxonomy places the organism in Eukaryota, Metazoa, Echinodermata, Echinoidea, Temnopleuroida, Toxopneustidae. The transcript is spliced from 2 exons.